RNAcentral lists this ribosomal RNA (500 nucleotides) under uncultured bacterium. RNAcentral describes it as "partial 16S ribosomal RNA". It matches the Rfam family "Bacterial small subunit ribosomal RNA", at positions 30 to 523 of the family's 1533-position model. The record is from RNAcentral.
AUUGAACGCUGGCGGAAUGCUUUACACAUGCAAGUCGAACGGCAGCACGGACUUCGGUCUGGUGGCGAGUGGCGAACGGGUGAGUAAUGUAUCGGAACGUGCCCAGUCGUGGGGGAUAACGUAGUGAAAAUUACGCUAAUACCGCAUACGAUCUAUGGAUGAAAGCGGGGGAUCGCAAGACCUCGCGCGAUUGGAGCGGCCGAUAUCAGAUUAGCUACUUGGUGGGGUAAAGGCACACCAAGCCAACGAUCUGUAGCUGGUCUGAGAGGACGACCAGCCACACUGGAACUGAGACACGGUCCAGACUCCUACGGGAGGCAGCAGUGGGGAAUUUUGGACAAUGGGCGAAAGCCUGAUCCAGCCAUUCCGCGUGCAGGAUGAAGGCCCUCGGGUUGUAAACUGCUUUUGUACAGAACGAAAAGGUUUCUACUAAUACUAGGAGCUCAUGACGGUACUGUAAGAAUAAGCACCGGCUAACUACGUGCCAGCCGCCGCGGUAA